GGGGAAUAUUGGACAAUGGGCGAAAGCCUGAUCCAGCCAUGCCGCGUGAGUGAUGAAGGCCUUAGGGUUGUAAAGCUCUUUCAGUGGGGAAGAUAAUGACGGUACCCACAGAAGAAGCCCCGGCUAACUUCGUGCCAGCAGCCGCGGUAAUACGAAGGGGGCUAGCGUUGUUCGGAUUUACUGGGCGUAAAGCGCACGUAGGCGGAUUGUUAAGUCAGGGGUGAAAUCCCGGAGCUCAACUCCGGAACUGACUUUGAUACUGGCAAUCUAGAGUCCGGAAGAGGUGAGUGGAACUCCUAGUGUAGAGGUGGAAUUCGUAGAUAUUAGGAAGAACACCAGUGGCGAAGGCGGCUCACUGGUCCGGUACUGACGCUGAGGUGCGAAAGCGUGGGGAGCAAAC
Molecule: ribosomal RNA, 400 nt
Filed under: uncultured bacterium
Lineage: Bacteria
Description: bacterial SSU rRNA
Rfam family: Bacterial small subunit ribosomal RNA
Source: RNAcentral